RNAcentral lists this ribosomal RNA (406 nucleotides) under uncultured bacterium. Its description in RNAcentral is "partial 16S ribosomal RNA". It matches the Rfam family "Bacterial small subunit ribosomal RNA", at positions 30 to 526 of the family's 1533-position model. The record is from RNAcentral.
AUUGAACGCUGGCGGCAGGCCUAACACAUGCAAGUCGAACGAGUGGCGGACGGGUGAGUAAUGUCUGGGAAACCGCCUGAUGGAGGGGGAUAACUACUGGAAACGGUAGCUACUACCGCAUACCAUCGGAUGUGCCCAGAUGGGAUUAGCUAGUAGGUGGGGUAAAGGCUCACCUAGGCGACGAUCCCUAGCUGGUCUGCGAGGAUGACCAGCCACACUGGAACUGAGACACGGUCCAGACUCCGACGGGAGGCAGCAGUGGGGAAUAUUGGACAAUGGGCGAAAGCCUGAUCCAGCCAUGCCGCGUGUGUGAAGAAGGCCUUCGGAUUGUAAAGCACUUUAAGUUGGGAGGCGGUACCAACAGAAUAAGCACCGGCUAACUUCGUGCCAGCAGCCGCGGUAAUUC